GCUGGGUGUGGUGGCGGGCACCUGUAAUCCCAGCUACUUGGGAGGCUGAGGCAGGAGAAUCGCUUGAACCCAGGAAGUGGAGGUUGCAGUGAGCCAAGAUCACACCACUGCACUCCAGCCUGGGUGACAGAGUGAGACCCUAUCUCAA
This 148-nucleotide non-coding RNA is filed under the name Nomascus leucogenys (northern white-cheeked gibbon). The record is from Rfam by way of RNAcentral. Lineage: Eukaryota; Metazoa; Chordata; Mammalia; Primates; Hylobatidae.